UUCGACCCCCCAUUGUGGCCCCACCCUACCCCCAGGGAUCAUGAAUUUCACAACUUUGAAUUUACACUACCUGAGGAUGCUUCCACACAAGUUUCAGCUUUCCUGGCUGAUUAGUUUCUGAGAAGAAGAAUUUUAAAGAUUUACUCUAUAUAUUCAUAUGUAAAACUUUGACCCCCCAUUGUGGCCCCACCCUACCCCCGGGGGUCAUGAAUUUCACAACUUUGAAUCUACACUACCUGAGGAUGCUUCCACACAAGUUUCAGCUUUCCUGGCUUUCUGGUUCUUGAGAAGAAGAUUUUUGAAAAUUUCUCGAAAUUUUCAUUAAUUUCUAAUUAUCUCCAUUUGAAAACGAGCGUGGCCCUUAAUUUUCACAACUUUGAAUCCCCUUUGCCUAAGGAUGAUUUGUGCCAAGUUUGGUUGAAAUUGGCCCAGUAGUUCUUGAGAAGAUGUUGAAAAUGUGAAAAGUUUACGGACAGACGGACGGACAGACGGACGACAGACAAAAUGUGAUCAGAAUAGCUCACUUGAGCUUUCAGCUCAGGUGAGCUAAAAACUAAACCUCAUCCAGCAUCCGAAACCUAUGGCUCAGAUUCAGCAUUCAAGCCCAUCAGGUGCAUUGGUAUCAUAAGACGCAUCAUCCAUGCAAGUUUCAUGAAGUUUGGACCAGUAAUAACUAGAACUGUCCUAAUGGGACUAAUACCCCCGAAAGGCUAAUUUCAAAUGGGAUAAAUAAUUGAAAAAAAUUUCUAGAAUUGUAAAAAAAAAAAAUUAGUUAACAAAGAAAAAUUAAAAUCAAAAUUGUCAGAAUUUCACUGUAAAUACAUAUCUAUAACAGUAAUACAUUUACAAAUGUAUGUAUCUGAUGAUAUAUUUUUUAAAAAUUUAAUUGAUUUAAAGAAAAACCAACAAAAUGACAAUAAACCCUCCCUUUGCAGUAAAUGGCAAUAUCGGUAGCCAAGCAAUGCUCUUCUGUUGAUAAAACUUUCAAUAUCUUUCUAAUUAGAGUCUUGACAGAUGCAAUUAGUUGUUUCAAAUUUUCCUCACUUUCUCAUAUGGCACAAUGGAACUCCAUAUCAGAAAAUUGAUCCCAUAGGACUAUGAUUUUCUUUGAUGAGCUUGUUAAAUUAAAUAAUCUCCCAAAACAUUAUCGUAAUUACCAUACUAUGUAAAAAUAUGUAAAAAAGAAAAUUUAAUAUUACAAACAAUUUUAAAAUUGCCAAAACACUACAAUCAUAUCAGUAAUUUUGAAUUUCAUUUAAAUUAAUGCCCAAUAGGGUCACUUCAUCAAUUUACUUGACAAAUAAAUUUAAACAACCUCUACAAAUAGUUUUACUUCUUUAUUAAUAAUGAUUUUAUUUAUUUCCUUAUAAUGAUAGAACUUUUGGUUUACAUGAAACAGUUUUAAAAUAGCCCAAAAACCAUCACCCAUUUUACAGUUUAUCAAUUUCCCCUAAGCACAUGCUCCAUCUGAACCAUGGCUCAGAUAAUGGCUCCCUUGGGACAAAUGAAUUCAGCCACACUUGUCUUUGGUGUUCUUAUUAGCUCCUAAGAAUUUAUCAUUGACAAACAAAAACUUUGCAUUGUCAGUUGAUAGAAUACUUAUAAAAAAUAUUUUUAUUAAUUAAGACAUAAAGACAAAAAAGCUCGGUCUGGGUGUAUUUAUAUAAAUAUAUUUUAGAGUGUUUUAAUACUAUUAAUCAAUUAAUAAAAUCUGUAAGGAUUACCUACCUUACUUUUCAACAUUAGUGUACAAUAUAUAGAAUAAGGAAAAUGUAAGGCUAAAUAAAAUUGAAAUUACGGUUCUCAGGCCCGCGCGCAUCCGUUUUGAGGGUGCCGCAUUGCAAAUUUUAUUGCAUUUUCAAUAAAAUAAAAAGUUGAUAAUGCGGAGACCUAUCCGGGAAAAAAAAGUUUCCGCUUUCGGUUUAUAAAUAGUUUUACUUUCGUUUCUAAUACGCAGCUUCCGGUGUAGUCUUAAUCAUUACGUCGCUUAUUUUCGUGAGUAAAAACUUAUGAUCCAAACCUCCCGAUGAUAUAGACGAUACUAGUAAAAAUGGGGUUGAUGGAAAUUUUGGACUUAAAACGAAUCAAAAUGUCUGCUGUUUCGAUUUGUAUCCGCCAUGGAACCCUUUUAAUUCUACCGUGGACUAUAAUUGAGAGUUUUUCCGAUGGAUGUUUUUUGUUAGACCUGUACGAGGGAGUGAAAUCGAUGAAAUUCGAUUGUGAAAGUUGGACCUCCCCAGAAAUAUUACUUGGUGCCUCGGUUUCUUUGUCAGUUUGCAAGCACAAGAACAGUUUGGACGCCGCGAUUUUAACCAUUAUAAACUUGUUUAUUGAUAACUGCUGUGUAUUCAGGACUUACUUCUUAAGUUCUUAACUGUGAAGAAAUGUGGUCCUAGUAACUGUCGGACACCGAAGAUUGCAUAAUGAUAUCUCUAGCCAGUUACACAACUUUCCUGAUCCAGUGCAAGGAGAAGAAGGACACUACAAAGAAUUCAGUGAGGUUUUUUGAACCAAUACUACAGAGGAACACUGUCCUUCUUUAUCAUAUAAACGAGCACAAUCAAUUGCAAGCAGACAUGGAAUUCCAUUUAGUCUAUCUGCUCAGACUGCCAAAACAGUGAAACAAAUGGGAACCUGCAUAGAUUGCCAGAAACCCAGAGUCUUAUAAGUUAUAUAGUGCUACUAAACUUGGUGCCCAAGAAAGUGCCUUGCUUACCAAAAUCAUUGGACUUUAUUAGUUUUCAUGUGGAUCUGAAUUUAGGAAUUAAAACCUGAUAAUCCUGAGAAAGCACCCUCAAUAUGCGCUCUCUUGUAGAACGUUUAUAUUAGAUCAAAUUUGACCUGUGCAUCUCCAACUGAGACCCCCUACUACAUGUACAGCUCUGGUGUAUUCCCCCCAAUAUGCUAUCACUGUUGGACACAAGACACAGAUACAGAAGAAGGACAGUACCCGAUGUGUCAUGAUUGUGUUGUUUCACAACGACAGCCCCUGUUAGAAUGGAAGAAUGUUCAAAGCUCCAAGGCAAAGAAGCAGAAAAAAAAUGAAAACAAACAGUUCAUUUAUAAAAGAAUAGAUGUUUUUUUGUUUGACUUAAAUAUUAAAUAUCAUUGUUGUACUUUGAAAGUUGGACUGUAUAUUUAAUAGAUAUCCUUAUUAAAUAAUAGAACAGCAGAUUGAAUAAAGAAAAUCUUGUUUUUUAAAUUUUAGGUAGUUAAUUUCUUUCCCAAAUAAAAAAAAGCCUCCCUCAUCUGUUUUUUUACCAAUAAAAAAGAAAAAAAAAAGCCUCCCUCCCUCAUCUAUUUUUGGAAAAUUUGGCCUGAGAACCAGAGAAUUAAUUUUAUGUGGCCUAAACUGUCAUAAAAUCAUUAAAUCUUGUCUGAUCUUAAAAAAAUUGCUGGCGCACAUCUUCAGAUUGGGUUCAACAUAUGUACAAAUUUUCAAACUGUUCCAUGCAGUAAUAAAAAAUUCUAUAGGGGGUACAAAGUUGCGUCUACAGACAGACGGACGGACAGGGUGAAACCAAUAUACCCCCCUAAACUUCAUUUGCGGGGGUAUAACUAAGAUAUCAUCAUCAGAGGGCACUAACUUCCUCCAGCAUCCGCAACCUAUGGCUCAGAUUCAGCACCCAUGCCUGUCAGGUGCAUCUGUAUCAUAAGACACACCAUCCAUUCAAGUUUGGUGAAGUUAGGACCUGUAAUAAGUCCUAAGAUUUAUUUUUUAGCAUCCUUGAUAAUGGAGAUCAAGCCCUGCAUCUGAAGCUACCUCUGCGAUUCAUUCAUAUUACAGUUAAAUCAACUAUGCAAGUUUGAAAUAGUACUAUCAUCUAUUAAACAUGUGACCUGUUCCAAAAAACUUAACUUUAUCCAGCAUCCGAAACCUAUGGCUCAGACUCAGCAUUCAAGCCUGUCAGGUGCAUCAGUAUCAUAAGACGCACCAUCCAUGGAAGUCUGGUGAAGUAAGGACAAGUAAUAACUAAGAUAUCAUCAUCAGAGGGCACCUGUUUCAAAAAUUUUAUUUAACUAGCUCUUAAAACCUUAACCUCCUCCAGCAUCCGAAACCUAUGGCUCAGAUUCAGCAUUCAAGACUGUAUGGUGCAUCAGUAUCAUAAGACGCACCAUUCAUACAAGUUUGGUGAAGUUAGGACCAGUAGUAACUAAGAUAUAAUCAUCAGAGGGCACCUGCAACAAAAACUUCAACCUGCUCCAAAAACCUUAACCUCCUCCAGCAUCUGAAACCUAUAGCUCAGAUUCAGCACUCAAGCCUGUCUGGUGCAUCAGUAUCAUUAGACACACCAUCCAUGCAAGUUUGGUGAAGCACGGACCAGCAGUAACUAAGAUAUUGCUAUCAAAGGGCACCUGCAACAAAAACUUAAACCUGGUCCAACAACCUUAACCUCCUCCAGCAUCUGAAAUUUAGGACCCAGAUUCAGCAUCCAAGUCUUUCAAGUCCAUAAGUAGGUCCAGAUGCAUCAUCCAUGCAAGUUUGGUGAAGAUAGGACGAGUAAUAGCUUAGAUACAGGACCUGCAACAAAAACUUUAACCAGGUCCGGACGCCGACGCCAGGGGUAGAGCAUAAGCUCCCCUUGACUUCGUCUCGGUGAGCUAAAAAGGACCAUUGUAAAUAAAAGAUCUGGGUCAAUAUACUGGUACAGUACCGAUCAGACCAAACCUAACACCAAAGUAAACCCCAACUAAACCCCAGGUUUACUUUUUGGGUUUACUUUUUGAAAAUUUGGGUCCACUCGGGGUUUACUUUGGGUUUACUUUGAAAUUGCUUUUGAGGUCAACUGCAUGCACUGAAGUGUGAAGCAGAUUAGUAUUUUAUCUUACCAUCCUACUGCCUGUAAUUGCUACCCUUUGCAAAUACACAGUUAGCGUCUGCUUUCAGGGGUAUACUUCUGACUGGAUUUACUCUCUGUGUCCACUCUGGGUUUACUUUGGGUUUACUCUGGGUCCACUCUAGUAAACCCGAAGUAAACCCAGAAUAAACCCAGGAAGUAAACCCAGGGUUUAGUUGGGGUUAACUUUCUGUUAGGUUGGGUCUGAUCGGUACUGUAUAUGCAUGCUAAACUAAAGGUAAUAACUUGCUGCAUUUAUACAUAAAAUAUAUAAAAAAUAUUCUGCUUAGGCCCAAAAAAAUAAAUCAUUAGUUUCUCGGGCCAAAUUUUUUUUUAGUUUUUUUUUUUUUUUAUAGACAAAAUCUACAAUGACAUUAACCCAUAUUUUAUUAUUUAUUUGUGUACUCAUCAGCAUAUAUUCAUCAAGCUGAUACAUUGGCAAAUUUAAAUAUUUGUUUUAAUUUGUUCUUUUUAGGCCAACAAAAAUUAAUCAUUAGUUUCUCGGGCCAAAAUUUUGAAAUAUUGAUGAGGCAGGCAUUUUUUUUUUUUUUUUUUUUUUUUUAAGGACAAAAUUUACAGUGACGGUAACCCAUAUUUUAUGAUUUAUUCAUCAAGCUGAUACAUUGGCUAAGUUUAAAUAUUUCUUUUAAUUUUUUCUUUAGUUUACCGUAAUCCGGUGAUUAUAAUACGCACUUUUUUCCCAGCAUUUUUUACCGUGAUAAAGGGGUGCGUAUUAUACAUCCCUAUAGGAUUUGGACAUAUUUUUUCCCUAGCUGAAGCACGGGGUAUCAUAUUGUCGUAUUACCUAUGCUGUUCACAGACAGGACCGAUACCCCGCUAUACAUCGUAACAUUCCUUCAUUAUCACAUAUAUAUUAUUAUUUAACCCUUAGGAAAUCAUUGUUAUAACAUGUAAUUAAAGAAAAUGUACACUUUAAGUCUGUUAAUAAAUAAACUAUUUCAAAAUGGCCUUUAAAAAUUAAUUUGAACUGCCUAUUCUUUAUCUCCGUGUACGCCGCCAUUACAGCUGUUAUUAAUAGAAUGCAGACUUGGAUGGCCACGUGCUAUUUGUAACCGAUCUUUGAAAACAGCUUACACAUCAUUUGGCUCAUUUUGAACCUUUUUCAUGUAAUGCUAAUUAAUUUAUUGCAAAUAAUUAUGAAUAUAAAUUAUUCUAUAACCUAUUCCGUUAAUUGAAGCCAUUAAAACAGUUGUGCUCCCCCUCCGCUAACGCUUGACACCUUGGGUAUCUCAGACACCCCCCUUAGGCUAUGUGUACUAUACACAACACAACUAUUUGUGCAUAUAUUUUAUUAUGUUCCAGGUCUCUAAUUGAACACUUUGAUCGGAGUCAUUUAAGAAUUUAAUUAGUUCCGUUAUCUCCAUACCUGUACAUCGUCCGUUUUUCACUUCACAGGGAUUGUAAUGACUAAACAAUUAUAUAAGUAGUUGAUUUUAUUUACGGUAGAAAAUUUAAUACUAGGUCUAUCUAAAACAUUGAUUAUGAAUUAAAGAUACUACCGCGAUGUAUUAGUUACAAUAAAUCCGUAUUUAAGAAAAUAUUGUGUUUUUCUUAUUUCCGGUAGCGUAUUCCCGCGAUGAAGUUGAGCGUGCAUGCAAAGUAUAACUGCUUUGUUGAUACUCAGGAUUACCGUUUGGUCAAUUUUUUUGAUGCGUAUUAUACAUCCCAACAAGCUUUUUUUCACCAUUUUCAGGUCCAAAGUGGGGGGUGCGUAUUGUACACUACUGCGUAUUAUAUUCACCGGAUUACGGUAAACUGUCUCUGUUUCCUUGCAGAUGAACAAACAAUGACAAAUGGUUUGUGCCCCUGCUUCAUUUUGCAGCCCAUCUCCCCCCCCCCCC
Magallana angulata is the source of this 6700-nucleotide long non-coding RNA. RefSeq lists it as uncharacterized. The transcript has 2 exons. The record is from RefSeq and is a predicted model, not a curated record. Lineage: Eukaryota; Metazoa; Mollusca; Bivalvia; Ostreida; Ostreidae.